UACGGGGGGGGCAAGCGUUGUUCGGAAUUACUGGGCGUAAAGGGCUCGUAGGUGGCCAACUAAGUCAGACGUGAAAUCCCUCGGCUUAACCGGGGAACUGCGUCUGAUACUGGAUGGCUUGAGUUCGGGAGAGGGAUGCGGAAUUCCAGGUGUAGCGGUGAAAUGCGUAGAUAUCUGGAGGAAUACCGGUGGCGAAGGCGGCAUCCUGGACCGACAUUGACGCUGAUGAGCGAAAGCCAGGGGAGCAAACAGG
RNAcentral lists this ribosomal RNA (253 nucleotides) under uncultured bacterium. RNAcentral describes it as "partial 16S ribosomal RNA". It matches the Rfam family "Bacterial small subunit ribosomal RNA", at positions 524 to 776 of the family's 1533-position model. The record is from RNAcentral.